GACGGAGGGGGCAAGCGUUGUUCGGAAUUAUUGGGCGUAAAGGGCUCGUAGGCGGACCGGUGUGUCUGGCGUGAAAUCUCCACUGCUUAACAGGGAGGGGCCGCUGGAAACUGCCGAUCUUGAGUAUGGUAGAGGACCAUGGAAUUUCGGGUGUAGCGGUGGAAUGCGUAGAUAUCCGAAAGAACACCGGUGGCGAAGGCGGUGGUCUGGACCAAAACUGACACUCAGGUGCGACAGCGUGGGGAGCAAACAGG
Molecule: ribosomal RNA, 254 nt
Filed under: uncultured bacterium
Lineage: Bacteria
Description: partial 16S ribosomal RNA
Rfam family: Bacterial small subunit ribosomal RNA
Source: RNAcentral